Myotis brandtii (Brandt's bat) is the source of this 105-nucleotide long non-coding RNA. RefSeq lists it as uncharacterized. The record is from RefSeq and is a predicted model, not a curated record. The transcript is spliced from 3 exons. NCBI's taxonomy places the organism in Eukaryota, Metazoa, Chordata, Mammalia, Chiroptera, Vespertilionidae.
UAACUGAGUAGAUUCAAAACUCACGAAAAUGUUGUAACCAUGCCCUUAGUUUGUCUCGUGGAAUCUGGCUAUAAAAAUAAAGACUCGGCUUACAGGUUCUGGGGC